CCGCAGGGGCGGCCUGAGGCGGGCGGGGCGCGGCGCGGGCAGCUCCGCGAGCGGCCUGGCGGAGGUCUGAGGCGGGCGCGGCGCAGGCAGCAAGCGACACUGCGGCCGCGCUCAGGGUCGGGCGGCGGUGGCGGUGGCGGCGGCGGCGAUGCUGUGGCAGCGGCUGGCGGUGGUCGAGUGGGCGGUGCUAGUCUGGGAGUUGCUGGGCGCCUCGGUCCUGUUCAUCGCCCUGCGCUGGCUGGUCCGGCGGCUGGAGAAGCGGCCGCGGGCCGGGGACCGUUGCGGGACACCCUCCCCGCCGCCCGGCGCGGCUACGGCCGCCCAUCCAGGUAAAGUGACAAUGGAUGCUAUAUUGGCACGAUUGAAACUCCUGAAUCCAGAUGACCUUAGAGAAGAAAUUAUGAAAGCUGGAUUGAAAUGUGGACCUAUUACAUCAACCACAAGGUUUAUUUUUGAGAAGAAAUUGGCUCAGGCUUUACUAGAGCAAGGUGGCUCGCUGACUUCCUCUCUUCCCGACCACAGUGAGGCAACUGCCAAGGCAUUCAUCCAGGGUACCCCAAGGACUCCCACAUCUGUGGGAGGGAACUCAACUCAGCAGGCCAAUUUUUCUGAAGAUAGAGAUUUUGGUUAUAGUGUGGGCUUAAACCCUCCAGAAGAGGAAGCUGUAACAUCCAGGGACCACCUGGUGCCCUUCAAUACCUCUACUGGAAUUGACAACCACAAGGCUGAAGUGACAGCUGCUAAGGAGCCACUUCUGUACUAUGGAGUGUGUCCAGUAUAUGAGGAUGGUUCUGUGAGAAAUGAAAGGAUCCAUGUUUAUGAAGAUAAAAAGGAAGCAUUGCAAGCUGUCAAAAUGAUCAAAGGGUCCCGGUUUAAAGCUUUUCCAACAAGAGAAGAUGCUGAGAAAUUUGCUAGAGGAAUUUGUGAUUAUUUCCCUUCUCCCAACAAAACUAUGUUACCACUGUCUCCUGUGAAGGCAGCACCACUCUUUGGCAGUGGUGGGUUGAGAGAUGGUUCAUGCCUGUCUGAAUCAGAAACAGUAAACAAAGAACGAGCAAACAGUUAUAAAAACCCACGUACACAGGACCUCACUGCCAAGCUGCGGAAAGCUGUUGAGAAAGGGGAAGAAGAUACCUUUUCUGAACUUAUCUGGAGUAACCCCCGGUAUCUAAUUGGUUCUGGGGACAAUCCAACCAUUGUGCAAGAAGGAUGUAGGUACAAUGUCAUGCAUGUUGCUGCCAAAGAGAAUCAGGCUUCUAUAUGCCAGCUGACUUUAGAGACUCUGGAGAACCCUGAGUUUAUGCGUCUCAUGUACCCAGAUGAUAACAUGGACAUGCUGCAGAAGCGCAUCCUCUACAUUGUCGACCUAUAUCUGAACACUCCUGACAAAGGGGGCUAUGAUACACCAUUGCAUUUUGCAUGUAAAUUUGGGAAUGUGGAUGUGGUCAAUGUGCUUUCUUCACACCCUUUGAUUGUGAAAAACCCAAGGAAUAAAUAUGGUAAAACACCCAAAGAUGUCAUUUGUGAAAGAAGUAACAACAAAUCUGUGGAACUGAAAGAAAGGAUUAGAGAAUACUUAAUGGGUCACUACUAUGUGCCACUUCUGAGAGCGGAAGACACUUCUUCUCCUGUCAUUGGGGGGCUGUGGUCCUCAGAUCAGACAACUGAAGUCUCACAUGGUGACCUCUGUAGAAACAGCCCAAGAGAUCCUGUGUUGACACUGAGAGCCUUUGUGGGACCUCUGAGCCCAUCUAAGGCAGAAGAUUUUCGCAAACUCUGGAAAACUCCACCUCGAGAGAAAGCAGGCUUCUUCCACAGUGUCAGAAAGUCUGACCCAGAACGAGGCAUUGAGAGAGUGGGAAGGGAGCUAGCUCAUGAGCUGGGGUAUCCCUGGGUUGAAUACUGGGAAUUUCUGGGCUGUUUUGUUGAUCUGUCUUCCCAGGAAGGCCUGCAAAGACUAGAAGAAUACCUUGUCCUGCAGGAAACAGGCAAAAAGGUUCAACAAGAAAUAGGAGAAAAUGAAGCCUGCCUUGGAGAAAGAGCCUCAACCUUUGGCAGUAGGAAGAAGCACAGCAAUUCUAUCUCUGUUGGAGCAUUUCUAGAUGAAGAUGAUGACAUGAACAUGAGCUUAGAAGAAAUUAAAAACCGGCAGAAUACAGUCCAAAGUCAGAGUCAGCCCACAAUCAAUGAAUUCCAAAACUCUGAAUGUGGCACCUUUCCCUUGGGGCAGAAGGUGAACUGUGGAGAAGCCUCAAGCAGGCACUGUGCCCAUGACAGCAGAAAUGGGCUUUGUCAUCCUCUGAACCACAGGACCUCGGGUGGGAGGGAACUAGAAGCCUCCAAUGGAGAGGAGGCCUUUCCAUCACCUGUUUCUAGUUUGAUUCUUGAGUUUGAUAAACUGAAUUUGCAAAAGCAAGGUGGUAGCCUUUUCAAGACACCAAAUAAAAAUAAGAAAAUAGAAGAUAAGAAGAUAAUGACUUCAAGAAAGGAUGCAGUAGGAAGUGACUUCCUGGAACCUCCCCUUGCAACAGCCAGCCUUAGAGAUAAUCAAGUCAGGACUAACAAGGAAGUAUCAGCUGCAGUGGCUGAAAUGUCUUUGGGACGCAUUAACCCCCAGCUUACGGUUCAGGCUGGCCUAGAACCUGUGUCCUCCUCUGCCAUAGGAGACUCCACCAGGAGGCUCUUCCUUUCUGGAGAGGAGCCAUCAAAGCUAGAUCGGGAUGUUUUGGCAGCUCUCGAGUGGGCGCGUAUUGAUCCUGAUCGGUACCCAGCUGUCCACAGGUGGAAGAGCGCUGUCCUGUGCUACUCACCCUCAGACAGACAGAGUUGGCCAAGUCCUGCACUGAAAGGAAAGUUCACAUCUCAGCUGCUGGAUCUUAGCCUCCCACGUAGCAGCAGUCCAGGGCAAAGGAGUCCUGCUGGCAGCAGCCCCAGCAAACCUGGCUACACCACCUCCUCCCCUGGCCUGGGCAGCCCUGGGCGCUACAGUCCUGCACACGGAAGCCACCUCCGCAGGAUGGCACACAUGGCUCAGCUCACAGCUCUGUAGGGCCACCCAUUGCUCAUUCUUAGGGUUUGUUUCCUUUGUUUUUAAAAGAAAAAGAAUAAUAAUACUUGCUUAUUGGUAAAAUUCCAUGAAAAAAAAUGUAUUCUAAAUAACUUAAUUCUCACUUUGAGAGUACAGGACUUUUAGAAAAUACAAAUGUCCUGAGUAAAAGUCAAAUGUCUGAUAUUUUGAAAAAGUUAAUGAAGCCAGGCAUGGUGGUGCACGCCUUGAAUCCCAGCACUCAGGAGGCAGAGGCAGGUGGAUCUCUGGGAGUUCAAGGCCAGCCAGAGAUACAUAGUGAGACCCUGUCUGAAAAACAAGUUAAUGAAAGCAAACUCAGAGCAAGUUGUCUGAAGCUAGUGGCUAUAGCAAUGAUGCACUUUUCAGGUAGAGACUUCUAGUUUUGGAAUGGAGCAAAGAUGCAAAGGCAGUUGAUGGACAAGAGAGCUGUUGCUUUAGUUGAGGCUGGCUACCUGUAGUUGUUAGUAGCAACAUCUCUGCAGUACCUGCAUGCACAUCCGCUGUUUCCAAACAGGUGAAUUGUGUGUUGUCUCAGUCCUGGGGGAGCAGCUUUCUGGUAUGCAAUGGCAAAAUAUGUAUCACUCAAUCCUAGUUGUUUCAAUGGUAAGAAGGCAGGUGGCAGGAAGCAAAUAGGCCUCGACUAUCUCAGACUUUUCUAACAGUGCUCAAAAUACUAUCAGCAUAUAAAAAUACCUUUUGUAGGGGUUGGGGAUUUAGCUCAAUGGUAGAGCGCUUGCCUAGCAAGUGUAAGGCCCUGGGUUUGGUCCUCAG
This is an RNA transcript of Nannospalax galili (Upper Galilee mountains blind mole rat), 3838 nucleotides long. It is a transcript of the gene named ankyrin repeat and LEM domain containing 2, with no coding region annotated. The record is from RefSeq and is a predicted model, not a curated record. The transcript is spliced from 14 exons. Lineage: Eukaryota; Metazoa; Chordata; Mammalia; Rodentia; Spalacidae.